This 421-nucleotide ribosomal RNA is filed under the name uncultured bacterium. RNAcentral describes it as "partial 16S ribosomal RNA". It matches the Rfam family "Bacterial small subunit ribosomal RNA", at positions 360 to 773 of the family's 1533-position model. The record is from RNAcentral.
AAUAUUGGACAAUGGGCGAAAGCCUGAUCCAGCCAUGCCGCGUGUGUGAAGAAGGUCUUCGGAUUGUAAAGCACUUUAAGUUGGGAGGAAGGGCAGUAAGUUAAUACCUUGCUGUUUUGACGUUACCGACAGAAUAAGCACCGGCUAACUUCGUGCCAGCAGCCGCGGUAAUACGUAGGGUGCAAGCGUUGUCCGGAAUUAUUGGGCGUAAAGAGCUCGUAGGCGGCUUGUCGCGUUUGCUGUGAAAUCCCGGGGCUCAACCUGGGAACUGCUUUCAAAACUGGCAAGCUAGAGUAUGGCAGAGGGUGGUGGAAUUUCCUGUGUAGCGGUGAAAUGCGUAGAUAUAGGAAGGAACACCAGUGGCGAAGGCGACUACCUGGACUGAUACUGACACUGAGGUGCGAAAGCGUGGGGAGCAAAC